This 57-nucleotide microRNA precursor is filed under the name Echinops telfairi (small Madagascar hedgehog). Its description in RNAcentral is "Ete-Mir-875_pre stem-loop". The record is from RNAcentral. Lineage: Eukaryota; Metazoa; Chordata; Mammalia; Afrosoricida; Tenrecidae.
UAUACCUCAGCUUUAUCAGGUGUUCUUUAUAAUCACCUGGAAAUACUGAGGUUGAGU